RNAcentral lists this ribosomal RNA (492 nucleotides) under uncultured bacterium. Its description in RNAcentral is "partial 16S ribosomal RNA". It matches the Rfam family "Bacterial small subunit ribosomal RNA", at positions 29 to 507 of the family's 1533-position model. The record is from RNAcentral.
AGUGAACGCUGGCGGUAGGCCUAACACAUGCAAGUCGAACGGCAGCACAGUAAGAGCUUGCUCUUACGGGUGGCGAGUGGCGGACGGGUGAGGAAUACAUCGGAAUCUACUUUUUCGUGGGGGAUAACGUAGGGAAACUUACGCUAAUACCGCCUACGACCUACGGGUGAAAGCAGGGGAUCUUCGGACCUUGCGCGAUUGAAUGAGCCGAUGUCGGAUUAGCUAGUUGGCGGGGUAAAGGCCCACCAAGGCGACGAUCCGUAGCUGGUCUGAGAGGAUGAUCAGCCACACUGGAACUGAGACACGGUCCAGACUCCUACGGGAGGCAGCAGUGGGGAAUAUUGGACAAAGGGCGCAAGCCUGAUCCAGCCAUACCGCGUGGGUGAAGAAGGCCUUCGGGUUGUAAAGCCCUUUUGUUGGGAAAGAAAAGCAGCAGGUUAAUACCCCGCUGUUCUGACGGUACCCAAAGAAUAAGCACCGGCUAACUUCGUG